CUCCUGUUACGUAUACUGAAGGUAUACCGGACAGAAAUACACUCAGGAUACAUUCAGUAUACGUACAGGGG
Non-coding RNA from Apis mellifera (honey bee), 71 nucleotides. Lineage: Eukaryota; Metazoa; Arthropoda; Insecta; Hymenoptera; Apidae. The record is from Rfam.